CCUACGGGUGGCAGCAGUGAGGAAUAUUGGUCAAUGGACGAGAGUCUGAACCAGCCAAGUAGCGUGAAGGAUGACUGCCCUAUGGGUUGUAAACUUCUUUUAUAUGGGAAUAAACUGUUCCACGUGUGGGCUUUUGUAUGUACCAUAUGAAUAAGGAUCGGCUAACUCCGUGCCAGCAGCCGCGGUAAUACGGAGGAUCCGAGCGUUAUCCGGAUUUAUUGGGUUUAAAGGGAGCGUAGGUGGAUUGUUAAGUCAGUUGUGAAAGUUUGCGGCUCAACCGUAAAAUUGCAGUUGAAACUGGCAGUCUUGAGUACAGUAGAGGUGGGCGGAAUUCGUGGUGUAGCGGUGAAAUGCUUAGAUAUCACGAAGAACUCCGAUUGCGAAGGCAGCUCACUGGACUGCAACUGACACUGAGGCUCGAAAGUGUGGGUAUCAAACAGGAUUAGAUACCCUAGUAGUC
Molecule: ribosomal RNA, 460 nt
Filed under: uncultured bacterium
Lineage: Bacteria
Description: partial 16S ribosomal RNA
Rfam family: Bacterial small subunit ribosomal RNA
Source: RNAcentral